This 253-nucleotide ribosomal RNA is filed under the name Oxalobacteraceae bacterium. Its description in RNAcentral is "partial 16S ribosomal RNA". It matches the Rfam family "Bacterial small subunit ribosomal RNA", at positions 524 to 776 of the family's 1533-position model. Lineage: Bacteria; Pseudomonadati; Pseudomonadota; Betaproteobacteria; Burkholderiales; Oxalobacteraceae. The record is from RNAcentral. RNAcentral also lists the same sequence under 1 other name.
UACGUAGGGUGCAAGCGUUAAUCGGAAUUACUGGGCGUAAAGCGUGCGCAGGCGGUUUGGUAAGACAGAUGUGAAAUCCCCGGGCUUAACCUGGGAAUUGCAUUUGUGACUGCCCGGCUAGAGUUUGGCAGAGGGGGGUAGAAUUCCACGUGUAGCAGUGAAAUGCGUAGAUAUGUGGAGGAAUACCGAUGGCGAAGGCAGCCCCCUGGGUCAAGACUGACGCUCAUGCACGAAAGCGUGGGGAGCAAACAGG